Non-coding RNA from Salmo salar (Atlantic salmon), 78 nucleotides. The record is from Rfam. Lineage: Eukaryota; Metazoa; Chordata; Actinopteri; Salmoniformes; Salmonidae.
UGGCUCAGUUGGUAGAGCAUGGUGUUUGCAACGCCAGCAUGGUGUUUGCAACGCCAGGGUUGUGGGUUCGAUUCCCAC